GCUCUCGUAGUUAAAUGGAUAUAAUUGUUCCCUCCGAAGGAAUAGUUGCCAGUUCGAUUCUGGCCGAGAGCA
RNAcentral lists this transfer RNA (72 nucleotides) under Candidatus Taylorbacteria bacterium RIFCSPLOWO2_01_FULL_45_15b. RNAcentral's name for it is "tRNA-Arg". It matches the Rfam family "tRNA". Rfam says of the family: Transfer RNA (tRNA) molecules are approximately 80 nucleotides in length. Their secondary structure includes four short double-helical elements and three loops (D, anti-codon, and T loops). The record is from RNAcentral. Lineage: Bacteria; Candidatus Tayloriibacteriota.